Molecule: ribosomal RNA, 70 nt
Filed under: Gnetum raya
Lineage: Eukaryota; Viridiplantae; Streptophyta; Gnetopsida; Gnetales; Gnetaceae
Description: partial 26S ribosomal RNA
Source: RNAcentral
ACCCCAGUCCAGGCGAGGACACCCGCUGAGUUUAAGCAAUAUAACUUAAGCGGAGGAAAGGAGAAACUUA